This 433-nucleotide ribosomal RNA is filed under the name uncultured bacterium. Its description in RNAcentral is "partial 16S ribosomal RNA". It matches the Rfam family "Bacterial small subunit ribosomal RNA", at positions 29 to 507 of the family's 1533-position model. The record is from RNAcentral.
AACGAACGCUGGCGGCAUGCCUAACACAUGCAAGUCGAACGAGACCUUCGGGUCUAGUGGCGCACGGGUGCGUAACGCGUGGGAACCUGCCUUUAGGUUCGGAAUAACUCAGAGAAAUUUGAGCUAAUACCGGAUGAUGUCUUCGGACCAAAGAUUUAUCGCCUUUAGAUGGGCCCGCGCUGGAUUAGCUAGUUGGUGGGGUAAAGGCCUACCAAGGCGACGAUCCAUAGCUGGUCUGAGAGGAUGAUCAGCCACACUGGGACUGAGACACGGCCCAGACUCCUACGGGAGGCAGCAGUGGGGAAUAUUGGGCAAUGGGCGAAAGCCUGAUCCAGCAAUGCCGCGUGAGUGAUGAAGGCCUUAGGGUUGUAAAGCUCUUUUACCCGAGAUGAUAAUGACAGUAUCGGGAGAAUAAGCUCCGGCUAACUCCGUG